This 568-nucleotide ribosomal RNA is filed under the name uncultured bacterium. RNAcentral's name for it is "partial 16S ribosomal RNA". It matches the Rfam family "Bacterial small subunit ribosomal RNA", at positions 355 to 912 of the family's 1533-position model. The record is from RNAcentral.
UGGGGAAUUUUGGACAAUGGGCGAAAGCCUGAUCCAGCAAUGCCGCGUGUGUGAAGAAGGCCUUCGGGUUGUAAAGCACUUUUGUCCGGAAAGAAAUCCUUGGCUCUAAUACAGUCGGGGGAUGACGGUACCGGAAGAAUAAGCACCGGCUAACUACGUGCCAGCAGCCGCGGUAAUACGUAGGGUGCAAGCGUUAAUCGGAAUUACUGGGCGUAAAGCGUGCGCAGGCGGUUUGCUAAGACCGAUGUGAAAUCCCCGGGCUCAACCUGGGAACUGCAUUGGUGACUGGCAGGCUAGAGUAUGGCAGAGGGGGGUUAGAAUUCCACGUGUAGCAGUGAAAUGCGUAGAGAUGUGGAGGAAUACCGAUGGCGAAGGCAGCCCCCUGGGCCAAUACUGACGCUCAUGCACGAAAGCGUGGGGAGCAAACAGGAUUAGAUACCCUGGUAGUCCACGCCCUAAAACGAUGUCAACUAGUUGUUGGGGGAUUCAUUUCCUUAGUAACGUAGCUAACGCGUGAAGUUGACCGCCUGGGGGAGUACGGUCGCAAGAUUAAAACUUAAAUGAAUUG